Molecule: ribosomal RNA, 207 nt
Filed under: uncultured bacterium
Lineage: Bacteria
Description: partial 16S ribosomal RNA
Rfam family: Bacterial small subunit ribosomal RNA
Source: RNAcentral
CUUGUAGGUGGUCUGUCGCGUCUGCUGUGAAAAUCCGGGGCUCAACCCCGGACUUGCAGUGGGUACGGGCAGACUAGAGUGUGGUAGGGGAGACUGGAAUUCCUGGUGUAGCGGUGAAAUGCGCAGAUAUCAGGAGGAACACCGAUGGCGAAGGCAGGUCUCUGGGCCAUUACUGACGCUGAGAAGCGAAAGCGUGGGGAGCGAACA